This 405-nucleotide unclassified non-coding RNA is filed under the name soil metagenome. Its description in RNAcentral is "partial contains 5.8S ribosomal RNA, internal transcribed spacer 2, and large subunit ribosomal RNA". The stretch from base 1 to 121 matches the Rfam family "5.8S ribosomal RNA", at positions 35 to 154 of the family's 154-position model. The record is from RNAcentral.
GAUGAAGAACGUAGCGAAAUGCGAUAAGUAAUGUGAAUUGCAGAAUUCAGUGAAUCAUCGAAUCUUUGAACGCACCUUGCGCCCUUUGGCCAUUCCGAAGGGCAUGCCUGUUUGAGUAUCAUGAACACCUCAACUCUUUAUGGUUUUCCAUGAUGAGCUUGGACUCUGGGGGUUUUGCUGGCUCACAGUCGGCUCCACUAAAAUGAAUCAGCUUACCAGUGUUUGGUGGGUAUCAUGGGUGUGAUAACUAUCUACGCUUGUGGUUUUUCCACCAGGUAACCUUCAGCAGUGGAGGUUCGCUGGAGCUCAUAGAUGUCUCUCCUCAGUGAGGACAGCCCUUUGAAUGUUUGAUCUCAAAUCAGGUAGGACUACCCGCUGAACUUAAGCAUAUCAAUAAGCGGAGGA